RNAcentral lists this microRNA precursor (72 nucleotides) under Eptesicus fuscus (big brown bat). RNAcentral's name for it is "mir-9209 microRNA precursor family". It matches the Rfam family "mir-9209 microRNA precursor family". The record is from Rfam by way of RNAcentral. Lineage: Eukaryota; Metazoa; Chordata; Mammalia; Chiroptera; Vespertilionidae.
AGCUCAGUGGUCGGCAAACCGCGGCUCAUGAGCCACAUGCGGGUCGCGAGCCGCGGUUUGCAGCUCUGUUGA